This 450-nucleotide ribosomal RNA is filed under the name uncultured bacterium. Its description in RNAcentral is "partial 16S ribosomal RNA". It matches the Rfam family "Bacterial small subunit ribosomal RNA", at positions 354 to 796 of the family's 1533-position model. The record is from RNAcentral.
GUGGGGAAUUUUGGACAAUGGGCGCAAGCCUGAUCCAGCAAUGCCGCGUGCAGGAUGAAGGCCCUCGGGUUGUAAACUGCUUUUGUACGGAACGAAAAGCCUGGGGCUAAUAUCCCCGGGUCAUGACGGUACCGUAAGAAUAAGCACCGGCUAACUACGUGCCAGCAGCCGCGGUAAUACGUAGGGUGCAAGCGUUAAUCGGAAUUACUGGGCGUAAAGCGUGCGCAGGCGGUUUUGUAAGACAGUGGUGAAAUCCCCGGGCUCAACCUGGGAACUGCCAUUGUGACUGCAAGGCUAGAGUGCGGCAGAGGGGGAUGGAAUUCCGCGUGUAGCAGUGAAAUGCGUAGAUAUGCGGAGGAACACCGAUGGCGAAGGCAAUCCCCUGGGCCUGCACUGACGCUCAUGCACGAAAGCGUGGGGAGCAAACAGGAUUAGAUACCCGGGUAGUCC